CUGAGAAAGAACGACAGGAACAGAGACGUCGCGAGGAUUAAGUUUAAGACUUCGCGAGAACAGAAUUUCUUUUGGCACCUCCUCUCCGCGCGUUCUUGGGAGUCUCUGUUGCCCAGGCUGGAAUGCAAUGGUGCGAUCUCAGUCACUACAACCUCUGCCUCCCGGGUUCAAGCGAUUAUCCUGCUUCAGCCUCCCGAGUAGCUGGAAUUACAGGGUUGAAAGGAGGAGCAGGAGGUACUGAUGGACAAGGAGGUACCUUCCGGUACACCUUUCAUGGCGAUCCUCAUGCUACAUUUGCUGCAUUUUUCGGAGGGUCCAACCCCUUUGAAAUUUUCUUUGGAAGACGAAUGGGUGGUGGUAGAGAUUCUGAAGAAAUGGAAAUAGAUGGUGAUCCUUUUAGUGCCUUUGGUUUCAGCAUGAAUGGAUAUCCAAGAGACAGGAAUUCUGUGGGGCCAUCCCGCCUCAAACAAGAUCCUCCAGUUAUUCAUGAACUUAGAGUAUCACUUGAAGAGAUAUAUAGUGGUUGUACCAAACGGAUGAAGAUUUCUCGAAAAAGGCUAAACGCUGAUGGAAGGAGUUACAGAUCUGAGGACAAAAUUCUUACCAUUGAGAUUAAAAAAGGGUGGAAAGAAGGCACCAAAAUUACUUUUCCAAGAGAAGGAGAUGAAACACCAAAUAGUAUUCCAGCAGACAUUGUUUUUAUCAUUAAAGACAAAGAUCAUCCAAAAUUUAAAAGGGAUGGAUCAAAUAUAAUUUAUACUGCUAAAAUUAGUUUACGAGAGGCAUUGUGUGGCUGCUCAAUUAAUGUACCAACACUGGAUGGAAGAAACAUACCUAUGUCAGUAAAUGAUAUUGUGAAACCCGGAAUGAGGAGAAGAAUUAUUGGAUAUGGGCUGCCAUUUCCAAAAAAUCCUGACCAACGUGGUGACCUUCUAAUAGAAUUUGAGGUGUCCUUCCCAGAUACUAUAUCUUCUUCAUCCAAAGAAGUACUUAGGAAACAUCUUCCUGCCUCAUAGAAUGAAGAACUUUGUUACACAUAUUUUGAUAAGGCACUGAAAAUAUAAAAGGACUGGUAGUUUACUGAUGUAGAUGUGAAUUCUGUAUAAAGAUGUGUAAAUUCUUUUGAGGGUUCAUUAAAUUGCAUGAAUAGAGACGGGUCAAAUAAAUAGGCAAAAGGGAUUUUUACAGUUAGAGAUAAAAGAGAAAACCAUUCACUGUAUUUUAUUUCAUUUCUCCUGAUUCAGAUAUUUUUAGUAAUUUGCUUAUAUGUAAAAGUUGUUUUUGUGGAGUCAGUGGAUAUAUUUCUAAUGAAGUGCUAGACUAUCCAAUUACUUAAUUUCUUAUACCUUUAGAUAAUCAGUAUGAAAAGUUCCCAUUUAUAAUGGAAAUGAAAAUUCUUAACUAAACUAUACAUGUAAUAUGUAUUUCUAGAAGAGAAUAAAAACCCAAGUCAGUUAUUAGAUUUAAAUCACCUUCUGAAAUGCUGCUAUAGGGCUGGUAUCUGUAAAAGAAUAUCCUGAUGCAUCUGUUUCACCAUUUUGAUUUUUAAAGUAUGCUGUAGCAUUUCUUAAUAACAUCGUUGUGAUGUUCUUAAGGCAGAUCUUUCUUCAUAAAAAGGAAAGUAAUGGCAAUUUCUCUCCUGUGGAAAUCCCAAUUGCUUGAAUUACUGAUAUUUUAGAAUAGACUUUUUAAAAUGCCAUAUGUAAUUUUAUGCAAGUUGACUAUAUAUCUUGUACUUAAUAAAUUAUAGGCUCAUUUUGUUCUCUGCUAGUUUAAAGUAAUUCGUUUAAUAAUAGAUGUGUUUUUAGAGGAAAUGCUGUUACUUGGAAUUAAUUUUCCAGUUAUACAGUCUUCUAUAACUUACUAAUAAUAUUCUAUAUGUACUUUAUGUAAUUUCCCUAAAAAGAAUGAACUACCACUACACUAUGGUGUUAAACCAAAAUAUAGGGAAAAUAAACACUAACUGCUGCUUAUGGAUAAUGUUGCAACUACUUGUUAUGCAUAUAAAUAUUUUACUUUUUCA
Molecule: long non-coding RNA, 2023 nt
Filed under: Homo sapiens (human)
Lineage: Eukaryota; Metazoa; Chordata; Mammalia; Primates; Hominidae
Description: long non-coding RNA NONHSAT149231.1
Source: RNAcentral